RNAcentral lists this transfer RNA (86 nucleotides) under Betaproteobacteria bacterium. RNAcentral describes it as "tRNA-Leu". It matches the Rfam family "tRNA". From Rfam's summary of the family: Transfer RNA (tRNA) molecules are approximately 80 nucleotides in length. Lineage: Bacteria; Pseudomonadati; Pseudomonadota; Betaproteobacteria. The record is from RNAcentral.
GCCGGGAUGGCGGAACGGCAGACGCAGCGGACUCAAAAUCCGCCGGUGGCAACACCGUGAGGGUUCGAGUCCCUCUCCCGGCACCA